GUCUGCAACCCGACUACAUGAAGCUGGAAUCGCUAGUAAUCGCAGAUCAGAAUGCUGCGGUGAAUACGUUCCCGGGUCUUGUACACACCGCCCGUCACACCAUGGGAGUUGGAAAUGCCCGAAGUCGGUGAUCUAACCGAAAAGGGAGGAGCCGCCGAAGGCAGGUCUGAUAACUGGGGUGAAGUCGUAACAAGGUAUC
This 199-nucleotide ribosomal RNA is filed under the name uncultured bacterium. RNAcentral describes it as "partial 16S ribosomal RNA". It matches the Rfam family "Bacterial small subunit ribosomal RNA", at positions 1303 to 1500 of the family's 1533-position model. The record is from RNAcentral.